GAGUUUGAUCGUGGCUCAGGAUGAACGCUAGCGGCAGGCCUAAUACAUGCAAGUCGAGGGGCAGCGCGGGUAGCAAUACCUGGCGGCGACCGGCGCACGGGUGCGUAACACGUAUACAAUCUGCCUUUAACGAGGGGGAUAGCCCGGAGAAAUCCGGAUUAAUACCCCAUAAUAUAUUGAGUGGCAAUCACUUGAUAUUGAAAGCUCCGGCGGUUAGAGAUGAGUAUGCGCCUGAUUAGUUAGUUGGUGAGGUAACGGCUCACCAAGACUUCGAUCAGUAGGGGAUCUGAGAGGACUACCCCCCACACAGAUACUGAGACACGGAUCCGACUCCUACGGGAGCAGCAGUAAGGAAUAUUGGACAAUGCCCGCAAGGGUGAUCCAGCCA
RNAcentral lists this ribosomal RNA (388 nucleotides) under uncultured Flavobacterium sp. RNAcentral's name for it is "bacterial SSU rRNA". It matches the Rfam family "Bacterial small subunit ribosomal RNA", at positions 9 to 394 of the family's 1533-position model. Lineage: Bacteria; Pseudomonadati; Bacteroidota; Flavobacteriia; Flavobacteriales; Flavobacteriaceae. The record is from RNAcentral.